UAGGGAAUCUUCCACAAUGGGCGAAAGCCUGAUGGAGCAACGCCGCGUGGGUGAAGAAGGUCUUCGGAUCGUAAAACCCUGUUGUUAGAGAGAAAGUGCGUGAGAGUAACUGUUCACGUUUCGACGGUAUCUAACCAGAAAGCCACGGCUAACUACGUGCCAGCAGCCGCGGUAAUACGUAGGUGGCAAGCGUUAUCCGGAUUUAUUGGGCGUAAAGGGAACGCAGGCGGUCUUUUAAGUCUGAUGUGAAAGCCUUCGGCUUAACCGGAGUAGUGCAUUGGAAACUGGGAGACUUGAGUGCAGAAGAGGAGAGUGGAACUCCAUGUGUAGCGGUGAAGUGCGUAGAUAUAUGGAAGACACCAGUGGCGAAAGCGGCUCUCUGGUCUGUAACUGACGCUGAGGUUCGAAAGCGUGGGUAGCAAACAGGAUUAGAUACCCUGGUAG
Molecule: ribosomal RNA, 444 nt
Filed under: uncultured bacterium
Lineage: Bacteria
Description: bacterial SSU rRNA
Rfam family: Bacterial small subunit ribosomal RNA
Source: RNAcentral